RNAcentral lists this ribosomal RNA (497 nucleotides) under uncultured bacterium. Its description in RNAcentral is "partial 16S ribosomal RNA". It matches the Rfam family "Bacterial small subunit ribosomal RNA", at positions 28 to 507 of the family's 1533-position model. The record is from RNAcentral.
GAUGAACGCUGGCGGCGUGCCUAAUACAUGCAAGUCGAGCGAACAGACGAGGAGCUUGCUCCUCUGACGUUAGCGGAGGACGGGUGAGUAACACGUGGAUAACCUACCUAUAAGACUGGGAUAAUUUCGGGAAACCGGAGCUAAUACCGGAUAAUAUAUUGAACCAUAUGGUUGAAUAGUGAGAGACGGUUUUGCUGUAUCGUCUCGCUGGAUCCGAGCCGGAUUAGCUAGUUGGUAAGGUAAAGGCUUACCAAGGCAACGAGGCGUAGCCGAGCUGAGAGGGUGGUCGGCCACACUGGAAGUGAGACACGGCCCAGAGGCCUACGGGAGGCAGCAGUAGGGAAUCGUCCGCAAAGGGCGAAAGCUUGACGGAGCAAGGCCGCGUGAGUGAUGAAGGUCUUCGGAUCGUAAAACUCUGUUAUUAGGGAAGAACAAAUGUGUAAGUAACUAUGCACGUCUUGACGGUACCUAAUCAGAAAGCCACGGCUAACUACGUG